RNAcentral lists this transfer RNA (90 nucleotides) under Pedosphaera sp. RNAcentral's name for it is "tRNA-Ser". It matches the Rfam family "tRNA". Rfam says of the family: Transfer RNA (tRNA) molecules are approximately 80 nucleotides in length. Their secondary structure includes four short double-helical elements and three loops (D, anti-codon, and T loops). Lineage: Bacteria; Pseudomonadati; Verrucomicrobiota; Pedosphaerae; Pedosphaerales; Pedosphaeraceae. The record is from RNAcentral.
GGAAGGGUGGCUGAGUGGUUAAAGGCAUCUGACUCGAAAUCAGAAGAUGUCGCAAGGCAUCCGCAGGUUCGAAUCCUGUCCCUUCCGCCA